GCCGGGUGUGGUGGCGCGCACCUGUAAUCCCAGCUACUCAGGAGGCUGAGGCAGGAGAAUUGCUUGAACCCGGGAGGAGGAGGUUGAAGUGAGCCAAGAUCACGCCAUUGCACUCCAGCCUGGGUGACAGAGCAAGACUCUAUCUCAA
This 148-nucleotide small RNA is filed under the name Macaca mulatta (Rhesus monkey). Its description in RNAcentral is "Metazoan signal recognition particle RNA (ENSMMUG00000058914.1)". The record is from Rfam by way of RNAcentral. Lineage: Eukaryota; Metazoa; Chordata; Mammalia; Primates; Cercopithecidae.